AUUUUCUAAAGGUAUUUGAAACUUGACUGCACAGGUAGGAACGGUGAACGCGCGAAAUAGACAAUUUGACGAAUCACUGAAGAUGCGUGAGCUCGGGUAUGCAAAGUAUGCAAACUUAAAAGAGACUCAUUUGCAUUCGGAUUCCCCUUUUCUUUUGAAAUGAUAAACAAAUAAACACAUUGAGGGCACGGAGACACGCGCGAAAUCUCGCACUCUCUUCAAGCCUUAUGGUAAAAGAUGCACAAUGUGCACAACACAAUGGAUCGUAU
This is a non-coding RNA of Caenorhabditis elegans, 269 nucleotides long. The record is from Ensembl. NCBI's taxonomy places the organism in Eukaryota, Metazoa, Nematoda, Chromadorea, Rhabditida, Rhabditidae.